UGACCUGGCGGCAGGCUUACACAUGCAAGUCGAACGGUAACGGGAAGAAGCUUGCUUCUUUGCCGACGAGUGGCGGACGGGUGAGUAAUGCUUGGGAAUCCGGCUUAUGGAGGGGGAUAACUACGGGAAACUGUAGCUAAUACCGCGUAAAAUCUUCGGAUUAAAGGGUGGGACUUUCGGGCCACCUGCCAUAAGAUGUGCCCAAGUGGGAUUAGGUAGUUGGUUGGGUAAAGGCUGACCAAGCCGACGAUCUCUAGCUGGUCUGAGAGGAUGACCAGCCACACCGGGACUGAGACACGGCCCGGACUCCUACGGGAGGCAGCAGUGGGGAAUAUUGCACAAUGGGGGGAACCCUGAUGCAGCCAUGCCGCGUGAAUGAAGAAGGCCUUCGGGUUGUAAAGUUCUUUCGGUGACGAGGAAGGCAGGCAUUUUAAUAGAAUGCCUGAUUGACGUUAAUCACAGAAGAAGCACCGGCUAACUCCGUGCCAGCAGCCGCGGUAAU
This 502-nucleotide ribosomal RNA is filed under the name uncultured bacterium. RNAcentral describes it as "bacterial SSU rRNA". It matches the Rfam family "Bacterial small subunit ribosomal RNA", at positions 36 to 524 of the family's 1533-position model. The record is from RNAcentral.